GACGAACGCUGGCGGCGUGCUUAACACAUGCAAGUCGAACGAUGAAGCCUUUCGGGGUGGAUUAGUGGCGAACGGGUGAGUAACACGUGGGUAAUCUGCCCUGCACUCUGGGAUAAGCCCGGGAAACUGGGUCUAAUACCGGAUAUGACUUUCUUACGCAUGUAGGAAGGGUGGAAAGUUCCGGCGGUGCAGGAUGAACCCGCGGCCUAUCAGCUUGUUGGUGGGGUAA
Molecule: ribosomal RNA, 229 nt
Filed under: uncultured bacterium
Lineage: Bacteria
Description: partial 16S ribosomal RNA
Rfam family: Bacterial small subunit ribosomal RNA
Source: RNAcentral